UACGUAGGGGGCAAGCGUUGUCCGGAAUCAUUGGGCGUAAAGAGCGUGUAGGCGGUUCGGUAAGUCGGCUGUGAAAGUCCAGGGCUCAACCCUGGAAUGCCGGUGGAUACUGCCGGGCUAGAGUCCGGAAGAGGCGAGUGGAAUUCCUGGUGUAGCGGUGAAAUGCGCAGAUAUCAGGAGGAACACCGAUGGCGAAGGCAGCUCGCUGGGACGGUACUGACGCUGAGACGCGAAAGCGUGGGGAGCAAACAGG
This 253-nucleotide ribosomal RNA is filed under the name uncultured bacterium. RNAcentral describes it as "partial 16S ribosomal RNA". It matches the Rfam family "Bacterial small subunit ribosomal RNA", at positions 524 to 776 of the family's 1533-position model. The record is from RNAcentral.